Molecule: ribosomal RNA, 253 nt
Filed under: uncultured bacterium
Lineage: Bacteria
Description: partial 16S ribosomal RNA
Rfam family: Bacterial small subunit ribosomal RNA
Source: RNAcentral
UACGUAGGGUGCGAGCGUUAAUCGGAAUUACUGGGCGUAAAGGGUGCGCAGGCGGCGUCGCAAGUCAGGCGUGAAAUCCCCGGGCUUAACCUGGGAACUGCACUUGAAACUACGAUGCUGGAGUAUGGCAGAGGGAGGUGGAAUUCCACGUGUAGCGGUGAAAUGCGCAGAUAUCAGGAGGAACACCGAUGGCGAAGGCAGCUCGCUGGGACGGUACUGACGCUGAGACGCGAAAGCGUGGGGAGCAAACAGG